Molecule: unclassified non-coding RNA, 2599 nt
Filed under: Hevea brasiliensis (rubber tree)
Lineage: Eukaryota; Viridiplantae; Streptophyta; Magnoliopsida; Malpighiales; Euphorbiaceae
Source: RNAcentral
GAAUGUGAUGUUAUUGUAAUCUGGAAAUGAUUAAAAAAAUAGAUUUACAUUUUAAAUGACUAACAGUACAAUACAAUGAAUAACUUCAGUCUAAGGUAUCUCAAAACUUUCAGCUAAAAAUUAAUCAAGUCAAAAUUUCCAUGUCCAAAAAUAUAGAUUACAAGCCACCAUGAGGUUCAGAACACUCUUCCACCAGAAGAUGAUCAUCAUGCCCAUCGCUAUCUUCUAUGCAGGCUGCCAUAGGCAGAGAGGGGUGUAACUCUGGUUGGGGGAAUUGUAGCUUCAGCCGAAAUGCAUCAACUCCAUUCAGAUAGUACCGGAAUAGCCGUUUUGCUCUAAUAAACCCAAGACGGCCAUAUAAAGCAAGUGCCCCUUUGUUUGUGACUUCAGCUUCUAAUGUCACCUUCAGAAAAUAUGCAAAUAAUGCUACAUGAUCAGUUGUCAUUUAGCAUAAAUGAAAAGAAACCAUAUAGCCUGUUCAACUAAUUUAAAAGUUGGAGCCUUGUUAAGCAUCAUGAGCUAGCUUUUUGUCUCCCUCUUCCAAAGAGAAAAUGACUAGCAUGAAUCUUAAGUACAAUUGGGAUUUGUUCCAGCAAAGGCCAAAAGCAAAUAGAAAGAAAAAGUACACCUGGACUCCUAAGCAAUGGAAUGGCUGAAAAAAUAGUAAAUAGUUCAUUCAAGCUGUAUAUCCUAACUUCCAGGUAGAUGAGGAAAACAAUUCUAGAUUGAAGCCAACUCAAUAUCCUUUUUCUAAAUAUUUCCCGGUUCUUAAAUCUAUAUCUUUGCAUAAUUUGAGGAAAGGGUACAAAGGCAUCCAAGAAGUUUAUCAUAUAAUAUCCAGGAAUCAAAAUAACGCAUUAGUUUGAUCAGCAGGAAAACAAGUAAAUCUCAACAAAAUUCAGCUGCAAUGCCUCACCAAAGCAUUGAGUCUUUGAACUAAAACAACAUGGUGAUAAAACCAAACCUCUCACUAAUAAGUGAGGAUUGCCUCCCCUGUAGUCUGAACAGGCGCACAACUGACAGAAGCUUUUAAAGUUUGAUUAUGAGCAUGUUUGGGAAGGCAGACAUGGGAAAUUUUGGCUAAAAGCCAACCUCUCAUGCCAGGAUCACUGACAACCCCUUUAUUUGCUUUCCUCAUUCUUAUAGGUAUUUUCAUUCCAGAUUUGAGCUAAGAUGCAUUAACAGACCUGCUAAUUUACAUAGAGAAAGGAGAAACAAAAGCCAUGUCCCUGAAUGAUAAUAUGAACUUUUUCUCAUGCACAACACUUGGUUUUUAUACAAUAGUAAUUUGUUUAUCAAUUUCUAUGAAAUAUGAUGCUUAAAUUCGCUCAAAAAUAAAAUUUUAUAGUUUUAAUGUCAUGACAAAGAGAAAUCAAAAUUUUCAGCAGAAUACAAUUUCAAUCCCAUUUAGACCUUCAAGUCCCCAACUUGGCAGCAAGCAUUGCCCAGUCAUCCAUCUCAACUUAAUAGCGUUAAUUGUGCGCACGGAUCGAUAAGCAAGAAGUUAAAACAGAGAAAUAAAUGAGAUAAUAUGGUGCUAAAAGGCAUCACCAUCACAAGUUAUUGGAACAAAAAUGAAAACAGGAUAGAACAAGAUAGCAAAAAAACUAAUCAAUGCCUGAAAAACAGAAAAUAAGGAAACCCACAAAAUUCAAUAUUCAUAGCAUCACUUCCCAAUUGUGUGAUGGUGAUGAAGGGUAACGCAAGGAUGGAGUUGACUGAUUUAAACCAAAAGGGAAAACUAUAAAACUGAAAGUUUGACAUCGUACCUCUUCACAUCCUGAUUCCAUCAUUACUUUAAUAGAUCUGGUGACAAGUUCGGUGGCUGCACUAUGAAGAAUUUCAACUUAAAUGGAAAAAAACUAUAUCUAUAACAAUAAUUCAACAAACAAACAAGACACAGCAAAGCACAAUUUAAUGCCACCAGCAAGAUAAAUUUAAUAAGCAUAUCCAUGAAAAUGCACAUGUACUAUCAGAAAACCAUGCUUCAAACUUCAAUUCAAUCAAAAAAUGAAACCCCACGAAUAUUUACAAAUCUAAUGCUCAUCAUACACAUCCAUCAACUAAAAUCAUGAGCAAAUAAAUUGAAGGAAGUCCUUAGAAGUAUCAAGUUUUUAGUGUUACCUACCAAUGCCUCUUCCACGAUAAGGUUUGAUGACAACUAACAUAGCAAUGUAGCCCCUCAACGUUGUAUUCCGAUGCUCCCCCAUCUUGCAAACCACAGUCCCAACGCAUUUACCUUUGUGAAACGCCAGGAAAGAGAGCUGAGGCCAUAGAUAGACGAAGUAACGGUAAGUGAAGAUAGAAUAGGGCUCGCUGAGUUCUUGGUCUACGAGGCUCAUAAUUAAUGGCAAGUGGUGUUCGCCGCCGUAGCUUACAUAUUCUAUCUCCAAUGCGUUGAAUUCUGCCUUUUUUUCUCUUUGUUGUUCUACUUCGUUGCUUUUCUCCAUCGUUGUUAAUUUCUCUCUUUCAUUCGCUCGACGGUGACGGUCUGGGGCUGGACGACGGCUAGCGCAAAUGAGUGAUUUUGGGCGGAAUCGGAAGCAAUUAGCACAGGACACGGUGGCUCUCGAGCUUGUGCUUAAUGCGUGUCGGCCCG